UACGUAGGGUGCGAGCGUUACUCGGAAUUACUGGGCGUAAAGCGUGCGCAGGCGGUUAUGUAAGACAGGGGUGAAAUCCCCGGGCUUAACCUGGGAACUGCAUUUGUGACUGCAUAGCUAGAGUACGGUAGAGGGGGAUGGAAUUCCGCGUGUAGCAGUGAAAUGCGUAGAUAUGCGGAGGAACACCGAUGGCGAAGGCAAUCCCCUGGACCUGUACUGACGCUCAUGCACGAAAGCGUGGGGAGCAAACAGG
Molecule: ribosomal RNA, 253 nt
Filed under: uncultured bacterium
Lineage: Bacteria
Description: partial 16S ribosomal RNA
Rfam family: Bacterial small subunit ribosomal RNA
Source: RNAcentral